Junco hyemalis (dark-eyed junco) is the source of this 469-nucleotide long non-coding RNA. The record is from Ensembl. Lineage: Eukaryota; Metazoa; Chordata; Aves; Passeriformes; Passerellidae.
GGGUCUCCCUCCCAGUUCCCCCUUUUGCCAAUUUCCCCUUUUUUCCCCAGGAAACGGGACAAGGGCAAGAAGGCUCAGCCGCCCCCCAAGCCCCCCAAAGCCCCCAAGGCCUCUCGGCGGCGGGAGAAGCUGCGGGUGCCCUCUCCCCAGGGCCAGCGGCGGCGCCGGGGGGGCCCCGGGGGGGCCGAGGCACGCUUCCAGGAGCUGGUGGAGAGGUACAAGAGGAAGAUUUUGGGGAGCAACCCCCCCACGGCCCGGGGGGCAAAGUGGUUCGAGAGCUGAGGCUCCCCCAGCAGCCCCCCCGGCACCCCAAAACCCCCCUGGGGGUGCCGGGGGUCCCACACCCUACAGGGGGGUUUGGGGCGCUGCCCCCACGCGCUCUGGGGGGGGCUGGGGGUGGGACCCUGCUCUGGGUCCCUCCUGGCUCCCCCCAGGAUUUGGGGGGCAUCCCCCCGCCAUGGCUCUGUGU